GUGCCCCCAAAGCUGAACUAUUUUAGAAAGGAAAGCAAAUUUAAAAAUCACUUUUCUGAGGAUUAAAAAAGGCCGGGAAACCGGCUCGUCGGAGGCACAAACAGCGCGGAGUAGGGGCCAGGGCUGGCGAGCGCGGGGAAGGGUGCAGCCCUCGGGAACCCCGGGGACCUCGGCGGGUCUCCACCCCUGGGAGAAGAAGCAGAGCAAGCGCGAAUUAUUUGAAGAUGAGAUGAAGAACAAAGCCCAUAUGAGUCAUGUGUGACCUUGUGCAUUUUACUUAACUCUCUCGGUAUCGGUUUCUUUCAAUCUGUUCAACAACCUGUAAGACAGCAGAGUUGUGGUGAGUUUUUAAUAAGAGCACUAGUUUCCAAUUUUGUGCCAGGGAGUUGACAUUCUUGAACUCUUCAGAAGAAUAAUUACAUUCAUGUAAUAAGCAAAUGUGAUACUGUACCCCUUCCCCACCACCUAAAUAUUUCUGAAUUCUCUUGUGAUAGGUCAAAAAAUUGAGGAAGACAUAAUUAGCAGCUGAAGAAUGACUCAGAUCAUCAGUAGUGAAUAAGAAUGAUUAGGGGGAAAGGGAACAUGUGUUUAAUACAUGAAGGAACGUGUCAGAGAGAUUAAGAACUUGCCCAUGGUGACACAGCAGAGAGACAGUUUAAUCAGUCCGUGACCAAAAUCAAACAGAGUAAACUGUGUCAUCAUGGAGAUCUGCCCAGGAAAUCCCCAAAAUACAGAAGGAUCAGAAGUAGAUGGAAAUAAUGUCAUAGAACGUCUCUCACAACUGUGUUAUAAGAAUGACAGGGAAGCUACAGGUUACAACAGAUUUGUGAACUCAGCCAAGCACAGUGGUGGCAGGGCCUAGCUGCUACAAAGAAGACAUGUUUUAGACAAAUACUCAUGUGUAUGGGCAAAAAACUCGAGGACUGUAUUUGUGACUAAUUGUGUAACAGGGUAUUUUAGUUCCUGUUCUGUGGAAAGUGUAAAGCAUUCCAACAAAGGGUUUUAAUGUAGAUUUUUUUUUGCACCCAUGCUUUGAUUGCUAAAUGUAAUAGUCAGAUCGUGACGCUGAAUAAAUGUCUUUUUC
RNAcentral lists this long non-coding RNA (1084 nucleotides) under Homo sapiens (human). RNAcentral's name for it is "long non-coding RNA NONHSAT200259.1". Lineage: Eukaryota; Metazoa; Chordata; Mammalia; Primates; Hominidae. The record is from RNAcentral.